CAAAUUAGAGCUUGUUAAAGUAUUUCAUUUACAUUGAAAAGAAAUUAAAUUUAAUUAAUUUGA
RNAcentral lists this transfer RNA (63 nucleotides) under Stichophthalma howqua. Its description in RNAcentral is "tRNA-Val". RNAcentral also lists the same sequence under 2 other names. Lineage: Eukaryota; Metazoa; Arthropoda; Insecta; Lepidoptera; Nymphalidae. The record is from RNAcentral.